RNAcentral lists this long non-coding RNA (211 nucleotides) under Ananas comosus (pineapple). Its description in RNAcentral is "long non-coding RNA (ACOM_LNC011332)". The record is from RNAcentral. Lineage: Eukaryota; Viridiplantae; Streptophyta; Magnoliopsida; Poales; Bromeliaceae.
AACUGCAACUUAUUAUUAUUAUUAUUUUUUUAAAGAGAAAAGUAGUAUGCUACCCGCUUCAUUCAUUUAGUAGAUGAAUUUAGCUACAAGGGUUAAGGCAACGCAAUUUCGAAAAAUAUUGAAGACAACCAAAACAAAAAGAUAAAUAAAAACUAAAAUUUUAAAAUUAUAGACAAUUGAUACUGCAACUUUUUUUCGUUCAACAAAAAUA